Long non-coding RNA from Ornithorhynchus anatinus (platypus), 658 nucleotides. RefSeq lists it as uncharacterized. The record is from RefSeq and is a predicted model, not a curated record. NCBI's taxonomy places the organism in Eukaryota, Metazoa, Chordata, Mammalia, Monotremata, Ornithorhynchidae. The transcript is spliced from 3 exons.
AUUCGUUGGCAAUCAGAGUUCCAACACUUGAACAACCGAAAUACUCCGAUCUAGUGAUUGGGCCUAAUAUUAGCUGGGAGUGAUCUCAUAAACAGUUUACUGGAGGAAGGAACAGGAUCCACUCCAUUACUAUGGACUUGAAUUGUGAGAAGGGAUAUGGACGUAAGUGCUGUGGGACUGGGGUUUCUCAUUGUCUUCCCACGGAGGUGUGAAAAAGAGCAAAGCUUACCAACCAUCAGAAUAAAUGGGUUGUUUACUGCAAUGUUUACAGCCCUGGGGAAAAACAAACCCUCCCCAGAGGGAACAGAUGAGGUGUGAACUCUAGGGAAAUAUCCUAAUCUUGAGCCUGAAUCUUUAGCAGUAAAUGCAAGGAGGUUGUAAAGAUAAACAAAUAGGUAGGGAUUCCAGGGGUAACAGGUGCAGAGUUGUCUGAAAACCAAAUCGGUUGGAAAAAACCUAACAGAAUGGAAUAACCAAGCGGAUCUUUAUCACCCAGAUGAUCUGGCAUUUCUACCUCUAUGGAUUCAAUUAAUUGGAGAAUUGCAAAAUCUCUACUUCCUGUUUCAGGUGUGGAUGGGGGGGCACUCAUCUAGUUUUGUAUUGGACAGUCUGAUUUUCAGAUGAUCAGUCCCCUCUCCAGAAUGGAUAUGGAAUUGAA